RNAcentral lists this long non-coding RNA (211 nucleotides) under Lathyrus oleraceus (garden pea). RNAcentral describes it as "Pisum sativum (pea) long non-coding RNA (PSAT_LNC017700)". Lineage: Eukaryota; Viridiplantae; Streptophyta; Magnoliopsida; Fabales; Fabaceae. The record is from RNAcentral.
UUAGUUGUCUUAAUAUUUAAUUUUAAAAAAAAUUAAAAUAAAAAAUAUUAAUCCAUAGUUUUGGUCCCUAAAAUUGUGUCAUUGGCGUUACCUAAAAUCCAAUUGUUAUUGGGAUACCUAAAGUCCAGUUGUCACUGUAAGACCCCAAUUUUGACCAUAAGAUUUCUCAUGCAAUUUCAUCAUAAGCAUUAGCAUUGGGAUCAUAUCUUGG